GUUGAGGGGAAUGUUGUCUGGUUGGAGACCUAGCUAGCAGCUAGCACGGAUCAUCCAUAGAUCGAUUCGACGCUGCAUAUGCGCGCGGUUUCGGACCAGGCUUCAUUCCCCCCAAC
RNAcentral lists this microRNA precursor (116 nucleotides) under Brachypodium distachyon (stiff brome). RNAcentral describes it as "pre miRNA mir-166". It matches the Rfam family "mir-166 microRNA precursor family". From Rfam's summary of the family: This family represents the plant microRNA (miRNA) precursor mir-166. Animal miRNAs are transcribed as ~70nt precursors and subsequently processed by the Dicer enzyme to give a ~22nt product. In plants the precursor sequences may be longer, and the carpel factory (caf) enzyme appears to be involved in processing. The record is from Rfam by way of RNAcentral. Lineage: Eukaryota; Viridiplantae; Streptophyta; Magnoliopsida; Poales; Poaceae.